Non-coding RNA from Daphnia pulicaria, 83 nucleotides. The record is from the annotation of a RefSeq genome assembly. Lineage: Eukaryota; Metazoa; Arthropoda; Branchiopoda; Diplostraca; Daphniidae.
GAUAGUGUGGCCGAGUGGUCUAUGGCGCUGGUUUUAGGCACCAGUCUCUUUCGGAGGCAAGGGUUCGAAUCCCUUCACUGUCA